GAUGAACGCUGGCGGCGUGCUUAACACAUGCAAGUCGAACGAGGAUAUCAUUUUGGAUUGAGGCAGCUUGCUGUUGAUUGACAGGUUGAUGACCGAGUGGCGGACGGGUGAGUAACGCGUGGGUAACCUGCCUUGUACUGGGGGAUCACAGUUAGAAAUGACUGCUAAUACCGCAUAAGACCGUGGUAUCGUAUGAUACAGUGGGAAAAACUACGGUGGUACAUGAUGGACCCGCGUUGGAUUAGCUAGCAGGUGAGGUAACGGCCCACCAAGGCUUCGAUCCAUAGCCGGCCUGAGAGGGCGACCGGCCACAUUGGGACUGAGACACGGCCCAAACUCCUACGGGAGGCAGCAGUGGGGAAUAUUGCACAAUGGGCGAAAGACUGAUGCAGCGACGCCGCGUGAACGAAGAAGUAUCUCGGUAUGUAAAGUUCUAUCAGCAGGGAAGAAAAUGACGGUACCUGACUAAGAAGCCCCGGCUAAUUACGUGCCAGCCGCCGCCGUAA
Molecule: ribosomal RNA, 506 nt
Filed under: uncultured bacterium
Lineage: Bacteria
Description: partial 16S ribosomal RNA
Rfam family: Bacterial small subunit ribosomal RNA
Source: RNAcentral